Long non-coding RNA from Eriocheir sinensis (Chinese mitten crab), 2926 nucleotides. RefSeq lists it as uncharacterized. The record is from RefSeq and is a predicted model, not a curated record. The transcript is spliced from 2 exons. NCBI's taxonomy places the organism in Eukaryota, Metazoa, Arthropoda, Malacostraca, Decapoda, Varunidae.
CACACACACACACACACACACACACUUAACCUAACCUAACCCCCCUCACACACACACACACAAACACACACUCCCCUUCCCCCCCACCCCACCCCCCAGCACACACACACACACAGGAGUUCCCUUGUGUUACCCCUCGUUGUGUUGCGGGUACUUGAGGGUGUUAUCAAGUUGUCAGACCUUAUCACCCGGGGCCUCAUCCUCCUGCCUCAUCACUAAUCGGGGCUGUGAUAAGUCGGAACGAGGCAACAGCAAAUGAAAAUGCCUCGCGUCUCACAUCUCUCGCACUGGUUUAAAUGAGUCUGAAGGGAUCAAGCGUGUUGAAGCGAUGUAUUGUGUGGAGUUUAGGAGGCUUGAUAAGGGAUUCAAGGCUGUCUGGAAGAGUACUCAAUCCCCUCUUUGUUCUUCUUUGGGGUUUUAGGUCAAGUUUAAGUACUUUAGGUUUAGGAGGCUUAAGGGAUCCAAGACUGCCUGAAAGAGUUUGUAUGUUACGGGAUUCAAGACUGUCUGGAAGAGUAUUCAAUCCCCUAGCUCUUUGUUCUUCUUUUGAGUUUUAGGUCACGUGAAGUACUUUAGGUUUAGGAGGCUUAAGGGAUCCAAGACUGUUUAAAAGAGUUUGUAUGUGGAGUUUGGGAGGUUAACUUACGGGAUUCAAGGGUUUCUGGAAGAGUACUCAAUCCCCUCUUUGUUCUUCUUUGGGGUUUUAGGUCACGUUUAAGUACUUUAGGUUUAGGAGGCUUAAGGGACCCAAGACUGCCUGAAAGAGUUUGUAUGUGGUGUUUGGGAGCUUAACUUAAGAGAUUCAAGACUGUCUGGAAGAGUAUUCGAAUCCCUUCUUCUUUUUUCCUUUUUAGCAUCGAGUCGCAUUUAGUAUUUUAGGUUUAGGAGUGUUAAGGAAUUCAAGACUGUCUGUAAAAGUUCUCGAAUCCUUUUUUGCUCUUCUUUUUGUCACGAGUCGCAUUGAGUAAUUUAGGUUAAGCAGCUCAAGGGAUUCGUGUCUGGCUGAAAGAGUACUCGAUCUUUUUCUUGGCUAUUGUUCUCUUUGGCACGAUUCACAUUACACGAUUCAGGUUAAGAGACAGGCGCGAUUCAGUACGUUUAAGGAAUAGUGAGUAGGUGUGUGAUGCUAUAUUGCUUUACGGAGGGCGAGGUACAGUUGCGUAGAAUGAGAGCAACAUGUCUUUACUUUAUAUAUCAUUAAACCUCCCCUCCUCACUUUGUCCUUCACCUCCCUCCUUUUCAUUUUUCAUCCCCCACCUCAUUCACUUCAACCUGCUCCCUGCUCCCCAUAUCUUUCCUCUCCAUCCCCUCCAGUUUUCUUAUUUCUUCUCUCUUGUCUUUCAUCUUUUCAUAUAUUUGCUUUGUAUUCAGUUCAGUAAUCUCCUUCUCUUUUCCUUUCAUCCUCCUCCUCUUCGUUUUUAAUAUCUCCCCCUUCGUUUCAUCCUCCUUCCUCCUUCUCAUAUCAUUCCCCUCCAUCUCCUCCUACUUAUCUCUUUUCCUUCUCUCCUUCAUGUCAUUGCUUUAGUAUAUCAGUAACCUCCUCCCUCACUUUUCUCUCCUCUUCUCUCUUCUUCCUCUUUAUUUUCUCUCUCCUCUUUCUCUCCCUUCUUCAUAGUCCUCUUUAUUUUUCUUCUUCUCUUCAUGUCUUUGUCUUUAUUUCCUCUCCUCUUCUCUCUUCUUCCUCUUAAUUUUCUCUUCCCUUUUCUCUCUUCGUCCUCUUAAUUUUCUCUCUCCCCUUUCUCUCCGUCCUUCCUAGUCCUCUUAUUUUUCUUUUCCAUGUCUUUGGCUGUUUUUCCUCUCCUCUUCUUUCUUCUUCCUCUUAAUUUUCUCUUCCCUUUUCUCUCCUUAAUUUUCUCUCCACUUUCUCUCCGCCCUUCCUAGUCCUCUUUAUUUUUCUUCUUCAUGUCAUUGCCUGUUUUUCCUCUCCUUCUCUUUUUCCUCUUUAUUUUAUCUCCUUUCUCUCCUUUGAUUCUUGUCCUCAGUGAACUUGAUAGACAGUGGGAACAUACAAGGUGACCGCUGCCCUACCUGCCCACCUUUGCUAUUCUUCCUCCACACACCUGUCCACCUGUCUCUACCUGUCCCACGUCUCUUGUUACCUGUCAUCCUCUCCUGUUUAUAUGUGGCUCCUCCUCCUCCUUCUUCUUCCUGUUUCUCCUCACUUUUUUUUUCUUGUUUCGGCUUUUUUUUACGUGUUUUUUUUUCCAUUUUAUCCUUAUUCCCUCUUUUCUCUCCUUGAUCUUCUCUUUCCUCCUUUCUUGUCUUCCUCUUUUCUUUGCUGUCCUUUUUGUCUCCCGUAUCCUUUCCUUAUUCAGUUACUUGUUCCUACCUUCUCUUUCGCUUUUUCUCCUCCUCCUCCUCCUCCUCCUCCUCCUCACUGGGAAGAAUUGGAUGGCCCCGAGAGAUGAAUUUCGUUCUCUGAUUUGUUCAACGAGGAGAUAAAAAAGAGACACCGACCAUUUCAAAACACCUGAUCUCACCUGUCCUUUUUCCCUUCACCUGUCCUCUCCUUACCUGCCCUUUCACCUUUUGCCCCAACUUCCCCUCACCUGAUAUACCUGUGCUGGUCAUGUUUUUUUUCCCCAUUGUGUUUUAUAGCCCUUAAGCCUCACCUUCUUUUCUUAUUUGCUCUUUCAUCUCUCUCCCUUUUCCUCCCUUCUCUCCUCCUUCUCUAUUCUCUCUCUGCCACUUCUGUUGAUUACUUCGCUCCCUUUUAUUUUCUCUCUCUUCUCUUUUUUCCUUUAGUUUAUUUUUUCCCCGUGUUGUAUAGCCCGUAAACCUCACCUUCUUAUUUUCUCCUAUUUCUCUUUCCCCUCCUUUAUCUUCUCUUCUCUGCUCCUUUUCUGUUCUUCCUCCCCACCUGCGUUCUUUUCCUCCUCCUCCCUCUUUCUUCCCCUCCCCCUUCCUUCCUUCCUUCCUUCCUACC